Molecule: ribosomal RNA, 828 nt
Filed under: Trametes villosa
Lineage: Eukaryota; Fungi; Basidiomycota; Agaricomycetes; Polyporales; Polyporaceae
Description: partial large subunit ribosomal RNA
Rfam family: Eukaryotic large subunit ribosomal RNA
Source: RNAcentral
CGAGUGAAGCGGGAAAAAGCUCAAAUUUAAAAUCUGGCGGUCUUUGGCCGUCCGAGUUGUAGUCUGGAGAAGCGUCUUCCGCGCUGGACCGUGUACAAGUCUCUUGGAACAGAGCGUCAUAGAGGGUGAGAAUCCCGUCUUUGACACGGACUACCAGUGCUUUGUGAUGCGCUCUCAAAGAGUCGCGUUGUUUGGGAAUGCAGCGCAAAAUGGGAGGUGAAUUCCUUCUAAAGCUAAAUAUUGGCGAGAGACCGAUAGCGAACAAGUACCGUGAGGGAAAGAUGAAAAGCACUUUGGAAAGAGAGUUAAACAGUACGUGAAAUUGCUGAAAGGGAAACGCUUGAAGUCAGUCGCGUCGUCCGGAACUCAGCCUUGCUUCGGCUUGGUGCACUUUCCGGUUGACGGGCCAGCAUCGAUUUUGACCGCUGGAAAAGGGCUGGAGGAAUGUGGCACCUUCGGGUGUGUUAUAGCCUUCAGUCGCAUACAGCGGUUGGGAUCGAGGAACGCAGCGCGCCUUAUGGCUGGGGUUCGCCCACAUUCGCGCUUAGGAUGCUGGCAUAAUGGCUUUAAACGACCCGUCUUGAAACACGGACCAAGGAGUCUAACAUGCCUGCGAGUGUUUGGGUGGAAAACCCGAGCGCGUAAUGAAAGUGAAAGUUGAGACCUCUGUCGUGGAGGGCAUCGACGCCCGGACCUGAAGUUUUCUGACGGAUCCGCGGUAGAGCAUGUAUGUUGGGACCCGAAAGAUGGUGAACUAUGCCUGAAUAGGGUGAAGCCAGAGGAAACUCUGGUGGAGGCUCGUAGCGAUUCUGACGUGCAAAUCGAUCG